AGUGAACGCUGGCGGUAGGCCUAACACAUGCAAGUCGAACGGCAGCACAGUAAGAGCUUGCUCUUACGGGUGGCGAGUGGCGGACGGGUGAGGAAUACAUCGGAAUCUACUUUUUCGUGGGGGAUAACGUAGGGAAACUUACGCUAAUACCGCAUACGACCUACGGGUGAAAGCAGGGGAUCUUCGGACCUUGCGCGAUUGAAUGAGCCGAUGUCGGAUUAGCUAGUUGGCGGGGUAAAGACCCACCAAGGCGACGAUCCGUAGCUGGUCUGAGAGGAUGAUCGCCCGCACUGGAACGGAGACACGGUCCAGGCUCCUGCGGGAGGCAGCAGUGGGGAAUAUGGGGCAGUGGGCGCAAGCCUGGUACAGCCAUACCGCGUGGGUGAAGAAGGCCUUCGGGUUGUAAAGCCCUUUUGUUGGGAAAGAAAAGCAGCAGGUUAAUACCACGCGGUUCUGACGGUAACCAAAGAAUAAGCACCGGCUAACUUCGUG
RNAcentral lists this ribosomal RNA (492 nucleotides) under uncultured bacterium. Its description in RNAcentral is "partial 16S ribosomal RNA". It matches the Rfam family "Bacterial small subunit ribosomal RNA", at positions 29 to 507 of the family's 1533-position model. The record is from RNAcentral.